UGGGGAAUUUUGCACAAUGGGGGAAACCCUGAUGCAGCGACGCCGCGUGAUUUAGAAGGCCUUCGGGUUGUAAAAAUCUUUUCUAUGGGAAGAAAAUGACAGUACCAUAGGAAUAAGGACCGGCUAAUUACGUGCCAGCAGCCGCGGUAAUACGUAAGGUCCGAGCGUUGUCCGGAAUCAUUGGGCGUAAAGGGUACGUAGGCGGGUAAGCAAGUUAGAAGUGAAAUCCUAUAGCUCAACUAUAGUCAGCUUUUAAAACUGCUCAUCUUGAGGUAUGGAAGGGAAAGUGGAAUUCCUAGUGUAGCGGUGAAAUGCGCAGAUAUUAGGAGGAAUACCGGUGGCGAAGGCGACUUUCUGGCCAUAACCUGACGCUGAGGUACGAAAGCGUGGGUAGCAAACAGG
This 402-nucleotide ribosomal RNA is filed under the name bacterium. RNAcentral's name for it is "partial 16S ribosomal RNA". It matches the Rfam family "Bacterial small subunit ribosomal RNA", at positions 355 to 776 of the family's 1533-position model. The record is from RNAcentral.